AAGAACUGUUCCUCACCUCUGAUGACUUAAGGCUCCAAGUUCUUUUUAGAAUGUUCAGAUCUUGGGAGCAGGCCAAGAUGGGUGUGUGGGUGAGGGGAGCAAGGAUGGCUAGAUGCUUGACUUCUGUUUGUGGACUUGAGACUACUCCCUGGAAAAGAGGAAACUUCCAUUUCCCUAGUGGCCUAUCACCGAGGAAACCCAUUUCUUCAUCUUCAAAUUUCAUUAGGGUGAGAUUCUGGUCCUGUGGUUCCAGGCAUCACAGGCAGCUACCCUGCUGGGAUGGGAUGGAGGUGGGUGCUGUGUGGGCCCUGCUCUUUGGGGCCUGUUCUAAGAGGACAGGAAUUGACAUGGCUUCCAUAGCACAUCUGUUAUGGAGGCAGGUGCUCAGGUAGCAUUGGCCCUGCACACUCUGUUUGUUACUUCACUAUUCCAGAAUAAAUAGCCCAAAAAGGAAGAAGGAAGAAGACAAAGGAAGCAGCAGUUCGGAGAUCUGCAGCUUUGAGGCUGUUAUGGGCUGAAUUGUAUACUCUCCAAAUUAAUUUAAGUUCUAACUUCUACUACCUCAGAAUGUGACUGUAUUUGGAAGCUGGGUCUUGAGAGGCUGGGAGGAGGGGUAUUAAGGUAAAGUGAGGUCAUUAGGGUCAGCCCUAAUCCAGUCACUGGUGGCUUGAUAAGAAGAGGGAAUUUGGACACAGAGAAAAGCCCAGAUGGAGACUCAGGGAGAAGAUAGUCAUGUAUAAGCAAAAGAGAGAGACCUCAGAAGAAACAACACUGCUGGUGCUUUGAUCUCAGACUUCCAGCUUCCAGAACUUGAGACACUAAAUCUCUAUUGUGUAAGCCACCCAGUCUGUGGUAUAUGGUUUGGGCAGCCCCAGCAAACAAAUGCCAGGGCUUGAGGCUGUGGGUGCUUCAAGGAGAUGGGAGCUAAGGGGGCAUCAUCCAACCAUCAAUUAUUGCUCUAUUUGGGGCCUUUGCUUGUGCUAUUGUGGCUUUUCUUUCUCCCUCUCCCUUACUCUUUCCUGUUCUCACUCUCUUCUGUCCUUUUUAUUACCAAAGUUCCUACUUCCAGAUUUGAAUAUGCAACUAAGUUUUGACUCAGAGAUUCAGAGAACUGAUUUAUUAUUUAUUCCUGUGAGUCAAAGGAAAUGCAAAAGAAAAAAGAAAAGAAGAAAGAAAGAAAAGCAAGCAAGGGAAAACACAAUAAAAGAAAGAAAGGGAAAAGCUGAGAGCAGGAAGACAAGAAGUAGCACUCGAUGGGGGCCCAGACUUCCUUCAGUUGACUCUAAUGGAAAUCACCACACCGCCUUUGAGGACCCCUCCUGCAACACGGGCUAAAUUGAAACCAUCCUGAACUAGGGCAGGGCAGCUGUGGAAUAUAGAUCUGAGCCUGGCUAACACUAUGGCUCAUAGAAUCAUCUGCUGCUUGGAUUCCUUGCUGCUGCCAAUUAUGAGAAUGUUCUGGAAGUUCAAAACUUUUAUGUACACCUGGGAAUUUGGCCUCGUGAACCUCCUCUUGCUCUUGGGCCUUGUGUGUUUCUGAGGUAAACCUGCUGGUAGAGGGGAACAUGCCUUCCCAUCCAUAAGCGUAGUUCACUCAGAUUAAUUUACUUC
Vulpes vulpes (red fox) is the source of this 1611-nucleotide long non-coding RNA. The record is from Ensembl. Lineage: Eukaryota; Metazoa; Chordata; Mammalia; Carnivora; Canidae.